UGAAAGGAUAUGUUAAUGGUACUUUGUUUAUGUUUGUUCGGCAAUGUGGACGCGGAGCAUUCGGCUCAGCCUCUGAUUCUCUUGAUUGAUGGAGAUCAGAGAUGUAUAUUUUCUGUCCAGAUGAUACCUGCAAGAUGUAGUUACCAUCCUACAUUCUUUGGAUCAAGUGUUCUGGAGGCUCUUUUUCUGCCUCAAGCACUUGGCAGUAAUUGGCUGCUU
RNAcentral lists this long non-coding RNA (219 nucleotides) under Hordeum vulgare. RNAcentral describes it as "long non-coding RNA (HVUL_LNC007897)". Lineage: Eukaryota; Viridiplantae; Streptophyta; Magnoliopsida; Poales; Poaceae. The record is from RNAcentral.